CAAACCUCAAGCCUUGCUUGGUGAUGGGCCCCGCCCGUGCGGCGGGCCCGAAACUCGUGGGCGCCCCAGGCCGGACUCCAAGCGUAGCAAAACCCUCGCUUGCGGACGACCGGUCAGAGGCCGCCCCGGACCCCAAUUUUUAUCAAU
Molecule: unclassified non-coding RNA, 147 nt
Filed under: uncultured Venturiaceae
Lineage: Eukaryota; Fungi; Ascomycota; Dothideomycetes; Venturiales; Venturiaceae
Description: sequence contains ITS2
Source: RNAcentral